GAUGAACGCUAGCUACAGGCUUAACACAUGCAAGUCGAGGGGAAACGAUGAGAGAGCUUGCUCUCUUAGGCGUCGACCGGCGCACGGGUGAGUAACGCGUAUCCAACCUACCCAUUACAGGGGGAUAACCUUGCGAAAGUAAGACUAAUACCCCAUGGCAUUUUAUGGUGGCAUCAUUAUAGGAUUAAAGAUUUAUUGGUAAUGGAUGGGGAUGCGUCUGAUUAGCUUGUUGGCGGGGUAACGGCCCACCAAGGCAACGAUCAGUAGGGGUUCUGAGAGGAAGGUCCCCCACAUUGGAACUGAGACCCGGUCCAAACUCCUACGGGAGGCAGCAGUGAGGAAUAGUGGUCAAUGGGCGAGAGCUUGAACCAGCCAAGUAGCGUGCAGGAUGACGGCCCUAUGGGUUGUAAACUGCUUUUAUAGGGGAAUAAAGUGAGCUACGUGUAGUUUAUUGAAUGUACCCUAUGAAUAAGAACCGGCUAAUUCCGUG
RNAcentral lists this ribosomal RNA (490 nucleotides) under uncultured bacterium. RNAcentral describes it as "partial 16S ribosomal RNA". It matches the Rfam family "Bacterial small subunit ribosomal RNA", at positions 28 to 507 of the family's 1533-position model. The record is from RNAcentral.